Molecule: ribosomal RNA, 1228 nt
Filed under: metagenome
Description: SSU rRNA
Rfam family: Eukaryotic small subunit ribosomal RNA
Source: RNAcentral
AUACCGGGCCUAUUUAGGUCUGGUAAUUGGAAUGAGAACAAUUUAAAUUUUUUAGUGAAUUCCACUGGAGGGUAAGUCUGGUGUUAGCAGUUGUGUAAUUCCAGCUCCAGUAGUGUAUAUUAAAGUUGUUGCAGUUAAAAAGCUCGUAGUUGGAUUUCUGGUUUGACGCGUUUGGCCCUCUCGGGUUUUACUCGAUGUGCGUGCCGAUGCGCGUCUGCCAUCCUUGUAGAGAACGUUUCUACCCUUCAUUGGGCCGGAUUCGCGAUCUACAUCUUUUACUUUGAAAAAAUUAGAGUGUUUAAAGCAGGCUUGUGCUAUGAAUACAUUAGCAUGGAAUAAUAAUUUAGGACUUUAGUUCUAUUUUGUUGGUUUCUAGAGCUGAAGUAAUGAUUGAUAGGGAUAGUUGGGGGUGCUAGUAUUCAGUGGCCAGAGGUGAAAUUCUUGGAUUCACUGAAGACUAACUUAUGUGAAAGCAUUCACCAAGGAUGUCUUCUUUAAUCAAGAACGAAAGUUGGGGGAUCGAAGAUGAUCAGAUACCGUCGUAGUCUCAACUAUAAACGAUGCCGUCUCAGGAUGAGUGAAUGUUGCAUUUCGACUUCAUUCGCACUGUAUGAGAAAUCAAAGAUUUUGGGUUCCGGGGGGAGUAUGGUCGUAAGGCUGAAAUUUAAAGGAAUUGACGGAAGGGCACACCAGGAGUGGAGCCUGCGGCUUAAUUUGAUUCAAUACGGGAAAACUUACCAGGUCCAGACAUAGUAAGGAUUGACAGAUUGAAGAUCUUUCUUGAUUCUAUGGGUGGUGGUGUAUGGCCGUUCUUAGUUGGUGGAGUGAUUUGUUUGGUUAAUUCCGUUAACGAACGAGACCUCGACCUGCUAAAUAGUUCGGCGAACUCUUUUGGGUUCGUUCCGUAACUUCUUAGAGGGACUAUCGGUGCGUAGCCGACGGAAGUUCGAGGCAAUAACAGGUCUGUGAUGCUUUUAGAUGUUCUGGGCCGCACGCGCGCUACACUGAUGCGAUUAUUGAGCUUACAAUUUUGACUGAGAGGUCUGGGUAAUUUUUUCAAAACGCAUCGUGCUGGGGAUAGAUUAUUGUAAUUUUUAAUUUUAAAUGUGGAAUUCCUAGUAAAUGCGAGUCAUUAGCUCGCAUUGAUUACGUCCCUCCCCUUUGUACACACCGCCCGUCGCUACUACCGAUUGAAUGGCUUAGUGAGGUUCAAGGAGCGUGUCCAAAA